RNAcentral lists this ribosomal RNA (498 nucleotides) under uncultured bacterium. Its description in RNAcentral is "partial 16S ribosomal RNA". It matches the Rfam family "Bacterial small subunit ribosomal RNA", at positions 28 to 507 of the family's 1533-position model. The record is from RNAcentral.
GACGAACGCUGGCGGCGUGCCUAAUACAUGCAAGUCGAGCGGACGGAUGGGAGCUUGCUCCCAGACCGUCAGCGGCGGACGGGUGAGUAACACGUGGGCAACCUGCCUGUAAGACUGGGAUAGCUCCGGGAAACCGGGGCUAAUACCGGAUAACUCUUUCCCUCACAUGAGGGAAAGCUGAAAGAUGGCAUCUCGCUAUCACUUACAGAUGGGCCCGCGGCGCAUUAGCUAGUUGGUGAGGUAACGGCUCACCAAGGCGACGAUGCGUAGCCGACCUGAGAGGGUGAUCGGCCACACUGGGACUGAGACACGGCCCAGACUCCUACGGGAGGCAGCAGUAGGGAAUCUUCCGCAAUGGACGAAAGUCUGACGGAGCAACGCCGCGUGAGUGAUGAAGGUUUUCGGAUCGUAAAACUCUGUUGUCAGGGAAGAACAAGUACCGGAGUAACUGCCGGUACCUUGACGGUACCUGACCAGAAAGCCACGGCUAACCACGUG